GCUGGGUGUGGUGGCUCACACCUGUAAUCCUAAGUACACGGGAGCUGAGGCAGGAGGGUUGCCUGUUGAAGGUUCUGUCUCAA
This 83-nucleotide small RNA is filed under the name Marmota monax (woodchuck). The record is from RNAcentral. Lineage: Eukaryota; Metazoa; Chordata; Mammalia; Rodentia; Sciuridae.